UUGUUUUCUUUUUAGCUCACCUGAGCCGAAGGCUCAAGUGAGCUUUUCUGAUCACAUUGUGUCCGUCGUCCGUCCGUCCGUCCGUCUGUCCGUCUGUUCUUACGAGAGGUACAUUAUGGGGUAAAAUUAAUGUAUUUUCCAGCAGUGUGGGGUUUUUUGGGUACUGUGGGGUUAACCCCAUAAUGAAGAGGUCUAAUUACGUUCAAAAUUACUCUAUGAGGUCGAAAAACCUAAAAUUAGAUUUAACCUCACAAAGACUUUGUCCAAAUUUUGGACAUGUCCUUAGCCCAAAACGCUCAGACAUUCAGAAAUCUGCUGUUUAGAGGAGUUCGGUAAUUGAAUCGAGGAGUUCCGAAUACCUGAGCAUGCGCAUAUAUUUAAAACUAACUGCGCAUGCGCAGAAUACGGAAGUAGCUGUGUUUGGACAUUUUUGUAUUAGCAGUGAGGAAAUUCGGAAACACAAAAAGCAAAUGCAAGGUCUGCAAUGAAAAUCGACCGAUACCCGGGGGUCGGGCUAGUGGUUUUCUGCAAGAGGGUCGCCCCGUUGGCCAGUAAAAAAAGAUAAUAUUAUUUAUACACGUGCAAUACAUGCAAAGCACACCUGAGUUCAGAUACUGAAAGUGAACAUCAGUGGAACUUUGAUGAUCUAGGCCGCUCUAUUUUUGCAGCAACACCAGCAUGCGUCGGACAUUCAUAAAGUUGAAAGAACAAACCUAUGACUUGAACACACAAUUUGUGAUCUGAAUAUAGUUCACAAAUUUAAGGAAAGCAACUAUCAAAGACAUCCAGAUUGAUGGUAUACAUGAAGUAUGAAUGAAAGCCUUUUCAGAAGAACAAGCACAAUCCCGAUUCAUUCUUGCCAUUGUCUUCUCCAGACGGUGACAUUUAGGACCUGACUUACUUUUCAGAAAAAGAAGAUGAAUCGAUUUUUGAUAGUUGAUCUUAAAAAGAUAACAUUUUCAGGGGUCGUGGAUUGAAUGACAUUUUCUUGCAAUCUCCCAUGCAGAGUUGUCAGGUGAAUGUAUGAGCCGAUGGUAGAGAGUGAUUUUCUUGAUGG
Long non-coding RNA from Saccostrea cuccullata (small rock oyster), 1057 nucleotides. RefSeq lists it as uncharacterized. NCBI's taxonomy places the organism in Eukaryota, Metazoa, Mollusca, Bivalvia, Ostreida, Ostreidae. The record is from RefSeq and is a predicted model, not a curated record. The transcript has 5 exons.